AGGGAUCAUUACUGAGUUUACGCUCUAUAACCCUUUGUGAACAUACCUAUAACUGUUGCUUCGGCGGGUAGGGUCUCCGCGACCCUCCCGGCCUCCCGCCUCCGGGCGGGUCGGCGCCCGCCGGAGGAUAACCAAACUCUGAUUUAACGACGUUUCUUCUGAGUGGUACAAGCAAAUAAUCAAAACUUUUAACAACGGAUCUCUUGGUUCUGGCAUCGAUGAAGAACGCAGCGAAAUGCGAUAAGUAAUGUGAAUUGCAGAAUUCAGUGAAUCAUCGAAUCUUUGAACGCACAUUGCGCCCGCCAGCAUUCUGGCGGGCAUGCCUGUUCGAGCGUCAUUUCAACCCUCAAGCUCUGCUUGGUGUUGGGGCCCUACAGCUGAUGUAGGCCCUCAAAGGUAGUGGCGGACCCUCCCGGAGCCUCCUUUGCGUAGUAACUUUACGUCUCGCACUGGGAUCCGGAGGGACUCUUGCCGUAAAACCCCCCAAUUUUCCAAAGGUUGACCUCGGAUCAGGUAGGAAUACCCGCUGAA
Molecule: ribosomal RNA, 531 nt
Filed under: Colletotrichum gloeosporioides
Lineage: Eukaryota; Fungi; Ascomycota; Sordariomycetes; Glomerellales; Glomerellaceae
Also listed under: 1 other name
Description: eukaryotic LSU rRNA
Rfam family: 5.8S ribosomal RNA (bases 184-337)
Source: RNAcentral